GAUGAACGCUGGCGGCGUGCCUAAUACAUGCAAGUCGAGCGAACGGGCGAGAAGCUUGCUUCUCUGAUGUUAGCGGCGGACGGGUGAGUAACACGUGGAUAACCUACCUAUAAGACUGGGAUAACUUCGGGAAACCGGAGCUAAUACCGGAUGAUAUUUUGAACCGCAUGGUUCAAAAGUGAAAGACGGUCUUGCUGUCACUUAUAGAUGGAUCCGCGCUGCAUUAGCUAGUUGGUAAGGUAACGGCUUACCAAGGCAACGAUGCAUAGCCGACCUGAGAGGGUGAUCGGCCACCCUGGAACUGAGACACGGUCCAGACUCCUACGGGAGGCAGCAGUAGGGAAUCUUCCGCAAUGGGCGAAAGCCUGACGGAGCAACGCCGCGUGAGUGAUGAAGGUCUUCGGAUCGUAAAACUCUGUUAUUAGGGAAGAACAUAUGUGUAAGUAACUGUGCACAUCUUGACGGUACCUAAUCAGAAAGCCACGGCUAACUACGUG
Molecule: ribosomal RNA, 497 nt
Filed under: uncultured bacterium
Lineage: Bacteria
Description: partial 16S ribosomal RNA
Rfam family: Bacterial small subunit ribosomal RNA
Source: RNAcentral